UCGAAGCAACGCGAAGAACCUUACCAAAUCUUGACAUCCUUUGACAACUCUAGAGAUAGAGCCUUCCCCUUCGGGGGACAAAGUGACAGGUGGUGCAUGGUUGUCGUCAGCUCGUGUCGUGAGAUGUCGGGUUAAGUCCCGCAACGAGCGCAACCCUUAAGCUUAGUUGCCAUCAUUAAGUUGGGCACUCUAAGUUGACUGCCGGUGACAAACCGGAGGAAGGUGGGGAUGACGUCAAAUCAUCAUGCCCCUUAUGAUUUGGGCUACACACGUGCUACAAUGGACAAUACAAAGGGCAGCGAAACCGCGAGGUCAAGCAAAUCCCAUAAAGUUGUUCUCAGUUCGGAUUGUAGUCUGCAACUCGACUACAUGAAGCUGGAAUCGCUAGUAAUCGUAGAUCAGCAUGCUACGGUGAAUACGUUCCCGGGUCUUGUACACACCGCCCGUCACACCACGAGAGUUUGUAACACCCGAAGCCGGUGGAGUAACCUUUUAGGAGCUAGCCGUCGAAGGUGGGACAAAUGAUUGGGGUGAAGUCGUAACAAGGUAGCCGUAUCGGAAGGUGCGGCUGGAUCACCUCCUUU
RNAcentral lists this ribosomal RNA (584 nucleotides) under Staphylococcus aureus. Its description in RNAcentral is "bacterial SSU rRNA". It matches the Rfam family "Bacterial small subunit ribosomal RNA", at positions 951 to 1533 of the family's 1533-position model. The record is from RNAcentral. Lineage: Bacteria; Bacillati; Bacillota; Bacilli; Caryophanales; Staphylococcaceae.